GAUGAACGCUGGCGGCGUGCCUAAUACAUGCAAGUCGAGCGAACGGACGGGAAGCUUGCUUCUCUGAUGUUAGCGGCGGACGGGUGAGUAACACGUGGAUAACCUACCUAUAAGACUGGGAUAACUUCGGGAAACCGUAGCUAAUACCGGAUAAUAUUUUGAACCGCAUGGUUCAAAAGUGAAAGACGGUCUUGCUGUCACUUAUAGAUGGAUCCGCGCUGCAUUAGCUAGUUGGUAAGGUAACGGCUUACCAAGGCAACGAUGCAUAGCCGACCUGAGAGGGUGAUCGGCCACACUGGAACUGAGACACGGUCCAGACUCCUACGGGAGGCAGCAGUAGGGAAUCUUCCGCAAUGGGCGAAAGCCUGACGGAGCAACGCCGCGUGAGUGAUGAAGGUCUUCGGAUCGUAAAACUCUGUUAUUAGGGAAGAACAUAUGUGUAAGUAGCUGUGCACAUCUUGACGGUACCUAAUCAGAAAGCCACGGCUAACUACGUG
RNAcentral lists this ribosomal RNA (497 nucleotides) under uncultured bacterium. RNAcentral describes it as "partial 16S ribosomal RNA". It matches the Rfam family "Bacterial small subunit ribosomal RNA", at positions 28 to 507 of the family's 1533-position model. The record is from RNAcentral.